RNAcentral lists this ribosomal RNA (235 nucleotides) under uncultured Actinomycetales bacterium. Its description in RNAcentral is "partial 16S ribosomal RNA". It matches the Rfam family "Bacterial small subunit ribosomal RNA", at positions 96 to 334 of the family's 1533-position model. Lineage: Bacteria; Bacillati; Actinomycetota; Actinomycetes; Actinomycetales. The record is from RNAcentral.
UGGCGAGCGGGUGAGUAACACGUGGGUGAUCUGCCCUGCACUCCGGGAUAAGCUUGGGAAACUGGGUCUAAUACCGGAUAGGAGCCAUCUUUAGUGUGGUGGUUGGAAAGUUUUUUCGGUGUAGGAUGAGCUCGCGGCCUAUCAGCUUGUUGGUGGGGUAAUGGCCUACCAAGGCGGCGACGGGUAGCCGGCCUGAGAGGGUGUACGGCCACAUUGGGACUGAGGUACGGCCCAG